UCAAACUUGGUCAUUUAGAGGAAGUAAAAGUCGUAACAAGGUUUCCGUAGGUGAACCUGCGGAAGGAUCAUUAUUGAAUGAAUUUGGUUGGGCUGUUGCUGGCUUAAUUACAAGUAUGUGCACGCUCUACCGAUUUUUUCUUUAUCACCUGUGCACUUAUCAUAGACUUUUUUUUUCCUUUCUUUUUUGUAUUUGUAUGGGGGGUGUUGCAAUUUGCUUGCUGUCCCUGACCUUUUUCAAAUCAAAAAAGAAAAGAAAAGAAAAGAAAAGUCUAUGUUUUUCAUAUAAACCCUUAUUUGUAUGUCUGUAAUUGUUUUUGGGCUUAAUUUGCCUUUAUUAUAUAUAUGACAACUUUCAACAAUGGAUCUCUUGGCUCUCGCAUCGAUGAAGAACGCAGC
Molecule: unclassified non-coding RNA, 398 nt
Filed under: uncultured fungus
Lineage: Eukaryota; Fungi
Description: partial contains small subunit ribosomal RNA, internal transcribed spacer 1, and 5.8S ribosomal RNA
Rfam family: Eukaryotic small subunit ribosomal RNA (bases 1-73)
Source: RNAcentral